UUACAUCGGGGGUCUGCUAAUUGUCACACCCUUUGCACAAUGGGUGAAGCUGUAGUCUGCUGAUUGGUCAGGUUGAAUGUCUCACAUUUGGGUUUCAGUCACAUGGUCAAGGAAGGGAUAAAAGAAGACUGUGAAUGUUGCUCUAGGCUUUUUCUCUCUUCUGGCUUUUCUUUGCUGAAUCUUUCCUUUACUGGAGCUCUCUCCCUCUAUUUCUCCCACUCUCUAUCUCCCCAUCUCACUUUCCUUCUCAGUCCUUUUAGAAAUCCUACAGCCUGAACCUCUGUAGGCAAACCUUACAGUUGCAUGUGAGGCCAUUAUGACGCAAAUCGAUGAUGGCUGCAUGUGUUUCUUUGGAGUACGUCCUGACUGUAGUUCCGGAUCCCGGCUUGGUUUCGUCCAAACCACAGGAUCUAAUCAACCAUUCAAACAUUUCUACAGAUGAAUUUUAAAACUACAGAGCAAUACACACCACAUGCAGUCAGGGACUAAUGUAUAGUCUGGACCUCCAUUGGGAAGGAAAUACAGGGACCUCUGCUUGUGCCUUAAUAAACCCUGUUCUCCUGUUAUUCCAGUCUCCUGUCCCAGAAUUCAAAAAUGUUCUUUAAAUAUAUUUUACAAAAGCAUUUACAAAAGUUCCGAGAUAAAGUGUUCUUGCAUCACUAUUCAGAGUUUUGGACCAUUGUUUUGUGUUUUUGUUUUAAUGUUCUAAAAUAAAUGGAAGGACAA
Long non-coding RNA from Carassius auratus (goldfish), 726 nucleotides. RefSeq lists it as uncharacterized. The record is from RefSeq and is a predicted model, not a curated record. The transcript is spliced from 3 exons. Lineage: Eukaryota; Metazoa; Chordata; Actinopteri; Cypriniformes; Cyprinidae.